RNAcentral lists this ribosomal RNA (305 nucleotides) under uncultured bacterium. Its description in RNAcentral is "bacterial SSU rRNA". It matches the Rfam family "Bacterial small subunit ribosomal RNA", at positions 333 to 630 of the family's 1533-position model. The record is from RNAcentral.
UCUUUCCUACGGGGGGCAGCAGUAGGGAAUCUUCCGCAAUGGGCGAAAGCCUGAUGGAGCAACGCCGCGUGGGUGAAGAAGGUCUUCGGAUCGUAAAACCCUGUUGUUAGAGAGGAAAGUGCGUGAGAGUAACUGUUCACGUUUCGACGGUAUCUAACCAGAAAGCCACGGCUAACUACGUGCCAGCAGCCGCGGUAAUACGUAGGUGGCAAGCGUUAUCCGGAUUUAUUGGGCGUAAAGGGAACGCAGGCGGUCUUUUAAGUCUGAUGUGAAAGUUUGCGGCUCAACCGUAAAAUUGCAAUUGA